GACGGGACCGCACAAGCGGUGGAUGAUAUGGAUUAAUUCGAUGCAACGCGAAAACCUUACCUACCCUUGACAUGUUCAGAAUCCUGAAGAGAUUUGGGAGUGCCCGAAAGGGAGCUGGAACACAGGUGCUGCAUGGCUGUCGUCAGCUCGUGUCGUGAGAUGUUGGGUUAAGUCCCGCAACGAGCGCAACCCUUGUCGUUAAUUGCCAUCAUUAAGUUGGGCACUUUAACGAGACUGCCGGUGACAAACCGGAGGAAGGUGGGGAUGACGUCAAGUCCUCAUGGCCCUUAUGGGUAGGGCUUCACACGUCAUACAAUGGUCGGUACAGAGGGUUGCCAAGCCGCGAGGUGGAGCCAAUCCCAGAAAGCCGAUCGUAGUCCGGAUUGUAGGCUGCAACUCGCCUGCAUGAAGUCGGAAUCGCUAGUAAUCGUGAAUCAGGAUGUCACGGUGAAUACGUUCCCGGGCCUU
This 468-nucleotide ribosomal RNA is filed under the name uncultured Dechloromonas sp. Its description in RNAcentral is "bacterial SSU rRNA". It matches the Rfam family "Bacterial small subunit ribosomal RNA", at positions 917 to 1381 of the family's 1533-position model. The record is from RNAcentral. Lineage: Bacteria; Pseudomonadati; Pseudomonadota; Betaproteobacteria; Rhodocyclales; Azonexaceae.